UUUUUCUGAAUUGACAAUACACAAAUUCACAGCCAAUACAUACAAUGGUACACUCACAUAAAAGCCAGGCCCCCCGUGCCUAAAAAAGAAAGUGAAAAGAGGGCCUUGAUCUAAAAGAAGAACCAGAGAUAUUACAAUUCUUGCUUAAGAAACUUAAAUUAAAACCCAUACAGAUAGAAAAACAAACAAGCUCGAUCAGCCGGAGCUUCAUUUGAUGAGCUUGACAUGUUCUAAAGGCCACAAGUACAAAGCUGUUGAUUGUUGAAACGCUCACUCACUGCUUAAGCAUUCACUUGUUCUUGAAGGGAAUGGCCCUGAUCACAACCACAUGGUACAAAGCUGCAAGUGCUGCACCAAUGAAUGGUCCAACCCAGAAGAUCCACUGCAACAAUUACAUAGACCCAGUUAAUUAACAUCAGUGCCUAAUUUUCCUGAAACUAUUAAUUGGAAUUGAUAAGUGAACCAAUUAGUCAGAAUCUAAUGGAAGCUAGGCUUACGUG
RNAcentral lists this long non-coding RNA (500 nucleotides) under Fragaria vesca (wild strawberry). Its description in RNAcentral is "long non-coding RNA (FVES_LNC003827)". Lineage: Eukaryota; Viridiplantae; Streptophyta; Magnoliopsida; Rosales; Rosaceae. The record is from RNAcentral.